This 96-nucleotide transfer RNA is filed under the name Tupaia belangeri chinensis (Chinese tree shrew). RNAcentral describes it as "Tupaia chinensis (Chinese tree shrew) tRNA". The stretch from base 1 to 64 matches the Rfam family "tRNA". From Rfam's summary of the family: Transfer RNA (tRNA) molecules are approximately 80 nucleotides in length. Their secondary structure includes four short double-helical elements and three loops (D, anti-codon, and T loops). Lineage: Eukaryota; Metazoa; Chordata; Mammalia; Scandentia; Tupaiidae. The record is from Rfam by way of RNAcentral.
GACGAGGUGGCCGAGUGGUUAAGGCGAUGGACUGCUAAUCCAUUGUGCUCUGCACGCCCCGCCGCAGCCGCGGGAAGCACCUGCGAACCCUAGUCC